ACCCGUGUAGUCCAAUAGCAGAGACAUCCGCCUCAAGAGCGGACCAGUGCGAGUGCAACUCUCGUCACGGGUA
RNAcentral lists this transfer RNA (73 nucleotides) under Chthoniobacter sp. Its description in RNAcentral is "tRNA-Leu". Lineage: Bacteria; Pseudomonadati; Verrucomicrobiota; Spartobacteria; Chthoniobacterales; Chthoniobacteraceae. The record is from RNAcentral.